GACAGAGGUGCCGAGCGUUAGGCGGAAUCACUGGGCUUAAAGCGUGUGUAGGCGGGCCGUUAAGUACCUUGUGAAAUCCCCCGGCUCAACCGGGGAAUGGCUGGGUAUACUGGCGAUCUUGAGCGAUCCAGGGGCAGAUGGAACAAGUGGUGGAGCGGUGAAAUGCGUAGAUAUCACUUGGAACGCCAAAGGUGAAGACAGUCUGCUGGGGAUCUGCUGACGCUGAGACACGAAAGCCAGGGGAGCGAACGGG
Molecule: ribosomal RNA, 253 nt
Filed under: uncultured bacterium
Lineage: Bacteria
Description: partial 16S ribosomal RNA
Rfam family: Bacterial small subunit ribosomal RNA
Source: RNAcentral